UACGUAGGGUGCGAGCGUUGUCCGGAAUUAUUGGGCGUAAAGGGCUCGUAGGUGGUUUGUCGCGUUGUUCGUGAAAUCUCACGGCUUAACUGUGAGCGUGCGGGCGAUACGGGCAGACUAGAGUACUGCAGGGGAGACUGGAAUUCCUGGUGUAGCGGUGGAAUGCGCAGAUAUCAGGAGGAACACCGGUGGCGAAGGCGGGUCUCUGGGCAGUAACUGACGCUGAGGAGCGAAAGCGUGGGGAGCGAACAGG
Molecule: ribosomal RNA, 253 nt
Filed under: uncultured bacterium
Lineage: Bacteria
Description: partial 16S ribosomal RNA
Rfam family: Bacterial small subunit ribosomal RNA
Source: RNAcentral